Molecule: long non-coding RNA, 1750 nt
Organism: Gasterosteus aculeatus aculeatus (three-spined stickleback)
Lineage: Eukaryota; Metazoa; Chordata; Actinopteri; Perciformes; Gasterosteidae
Source: Ensembl
UGGAGUGUCACGUACACACGCACUCAUGCAAGAGCACGAUCUCUCCGGCUGCUCGCAUGGCUGUGUGCUGCUAGUGGUGCAGAGAAUGACUAAGGAGGAUCCUUACACGGGACCACCACCACCCACCAGAUCGCUGGAUGUAACCUGACCCUGUAUUCUGGGCCUUUGCAUGGCUGGGAAGAAGCAGGCUUCCCCCCCUUCCCCCCCCCCGACAGUGUGGGGUGGGUGUCCUUUUUGUAGGAUAGUAGUGUUGUGACUGUGUUUGUUGCAGGAUGGAAGAAGGAAGGAAAAAAGGUUUGGCUAGUGUCUGAAGACAGAUGGAGGCAAGAGGCCUCAACACACGGAGAUGGAGACACAGCAUUUCAGUCCCAUGGUGGCUCUCUUGCAUAGCUCAUCAUUUAAGAAAAAUAAAGUUUGUUUUGAGUUACAACCCAUCGAAAGUAUUUUCUAAUAUUGAAUAAUCUGUAUCAGACAAUUCUUUUGAAGGCUGAAAAACGUGUCUGAAAAAACAUGGGUUGUGUGCAAUUAAUAAAUAUGUUGUAUUUGCCGGAGUGACUGUCCUUACAUUUUCCAUAUCACCGAAAGGUUCAUAUCUUAACUUCAAAUUUGUUCAUGUGUUUUGUUCAACCACAAAACUAGCAGUCGGACGAUAAGAAAAUAACUGAAAGUAUUGCAUAUCUUCAAUAUUGUAUUAAUCAUUUGAACCCAGUUAAUUAUCAUCCUCAUACAUUUUAUAUAUAUAUACAAAAAAUACGAACUCUGAUGCCUUGAAGUCUGGCUUUGAUACGCCAGCAGCUUAUAAAUAAAACUCAAAUGGAUUACAUUAGCACACUGGAAUACACUUGUUUCCUUCCUGUAGAAUUUGUUUAAUUAUAGAAAAGCUGCCCAUGUUGUGAUAAGUAAGGACAAUGUUUUGUCUUGCAUGUCAUGAAAAUACCACAUAAAUGUCUCAUGUGUACUAGCAUGUGGUUCUAUCAGAAACAGUUCAAUGCAGUUGACUAAUCAAAAGACAAAUGAGGCAUAAUUAGAGCUGGCAGGAGUCCUGAAGUCAGAACCUCAUGCAUAGAAUAAAUAUCAAAUAUACGAAAGCUGCAACUAAGUUUUGUUGGACACCAGUACACUAUGUGGAGACAACUGAAGCCCAAAACCAGAGCUGAAUGAUGUGUCCACUAUGACUUACAUCCACUCAAGUCAUACUGUAAUGUACAACAUGGGAAUAUAUUCUGCCUUAAUAACAAAAAUAUCCAUAAACACAUCUUGUCAAUUAAGUUGAUCUGUUAUUGUCCAGUAUUGUUGUGAGGAAAGACACAAAGAAGCAGGGCUGAAUAUGAAUGAAUCACAUGCUUACCACCUUGUUUUAGUCAAACAUAUUAGGAGCAUCUUCCAAUGCUGGAAACCUGUUCUGUGCAACACUAUUAAUCCAAUUCCAAUUUGGGAUACAGAGGAAAUUUGGGAUAUCUCUUUGUAUCACUAAUCAUAAAAUAUUAUCAAUAGCCACAAGAACCAUAUCUUUAGAAACAAAAUGUUCUAAAUAUCAGGUUAUUAGUGAUACAUGAACAAACCACUCUGUGAAAAACUUUUACAACAUAGAAUUCAAGAUACAUCUACAGACAACUGUAGCGAAACAAACCUUGUUGUGUAUUUUGGAUGUUUUAUUCCACCUGUCCAAUUGGAAACAUGUGGAAGCAAAAAAGCCCACACUCUCACGCAUCUGUUUCCAUUCCAGUCAAAAACCUACAGUUUGAUAGAG